RNAcentral lists this transfer RNA (77 nucleotides) under Roseibacillus sp. RNAcentral's name for it is "tRNA-Pro". It matches the Rfam family "tRNA". Rfam says of the family: Transfer RNA (tRNA) molecules are approximately 80 nucleotides in length. RNAcentral also lists the same sequence under 1 other name. The record is from RNAcentral. Lineage: Bacteria; Pseudomonadati; Verrucomicrobiota; Verrucomicrobiia; Verrucomicrobiales; Verrucomicrobiaceae.
CGGGACGUGGCGCAGCUUGGUAGCGCGCCUCACUGGGGGUGAGGAGGUCGCUGGUUCGAAUCCAGUCGUCCCGACCA